AGAGUAGAUAAAGUUAGGUGAUAUUUCUAGUUAAUGUCUCUAAUACCAUGUCUCUAAGCAAUGAUUGCCUGAUGCCCUUCUUCACCAGAUACCAUGCUGCUAAGAAGACUAGAUAUUCAAUCAGUUCACAGGAGACAAUAUAGACAAUAACUCUACUGAAGGAAGAAAAGAUCAUGAGGAGCUGCUUUGGAAGCUAUGCAAAGAGUAAGAGAUGCAAGGGAUGGAUUAUGGUGACCCUGACUUAUUUCCCCAGCUUCUGAGAAUGCUGCUGGAAGAUGAUCCUCAGCUGUCAGCCUUCUAUAGGAAUUUCCUCAGAAGAAAACUGCCUUGCCCAAGGUCAUGACUCCUUUCCAGGAUAGCUGGUAUCCUGUGAUCCAUCAGAGUGGGAAUAUAAAGGUCUGACCCCAUGUUCCAACUCAGGACAGUUCUGAAGGGCUGUCCCAGCCGCACAGCUACAUGUGGGGUCAGCUGAGGCUUCACUGGGACUGCACUGCGGCUCAGCUUCUACCUCUGCCCGAUCCUACUUCAUUCUCUUCUCUUCCAUGAGUAUUGAUCCUGAAUGCACUCCUCAGUAAGCUUCCCACACACUAAUCUCCUUCUCAAACUCUGCUUCUGAGGAAACCCAAUCGGAGACAAUAGAAUAUUGUCUCCAGUACCUGAACUCACUACAUGCCUGUAACCAGGCAUAUAACUAAUUACAGUUCCUCAACAUGCCAAAAGGAUCUGUACAUAUUCUCCCUGCCUCAAGUACCCAGGCCAUUUUAGUCAAGCCUACUCACAUUCAUGCUCCAAGACUAAGCUCAAGACAGUUUUACCACCUCCUUGAAGCCUCCUCUAACCGCACUGCCAUUCCCAACAUGUGCUCUUCCAGAAGCCUGUGCCUCCAUUGAUCACAUAUUUCACUGUAUCAAUCUGGAAUUAUAGAUUUACUUGUCUGUACAAGACUGAGACUUCCUUAAACUCAACAUUUGUCUGGUCUUUCAUUUUUGUAUUCUAAUGCUAAUACAGGGCAUCUGAUAAUGAUGGGCAUUCAAUAAAUGUUUUUUAAAUGA
This is a long non-coding RNA of Bubalus bubalis (water buffalo), 1052 nucleotides long. RefSeq lists it as uncharacterized. The record is from RefSeq and is a predicted model, not a curated record. Lineage: Eukaryota; Metazoa; Chordata; Mammalia; Artiodactyla; Bovidae. The transcript has 2 exons.